Molecule: ribosomal RNA, 253 nt
Filed under: uncultured bacterium
Lineage: Bacteria
Description: partial 16S ribosomal RNA
Rfam family: Bacterial small subunit ribosomal RNA
Source: RNAcentral
UACGUAGGGCGCAAGCGUUGUCCGGAAUUAUUGGGCGUAAAGAGCUCGUAGGCGGCUUGUCACGUCGGGUGUGAAAGCCCGGGGCUUAACCCCGGGUCUGCAUUCGAUACGGGCAGGCUAGAGUGUGGUAGGGGAGAUCGGAAUUCCUGGUGUAGCGGUGAAAUGCGCAGAUAUCAGGAGGAACACCGGUGGCGAAGGCGGAUCUCUGGGCCAUUACUGACGCUGAGGCGCGAAGGCGUGGGGAGCGAACGGG